Molecule: ribosomal RNA, 1372 nt
Filed under: uncultured bacterium
Lineage: Bacteria
Description: bacterial SSU rRNA
Rfam family: Bacterial small subunit ribosomal RNA
Source: RNAcentral
GAUGAACGCUGGUGGCGUGCCUAAUACAUGCAAGUCGAGCGAACGGACGAGAAGCUUGCUUCUCUGAUGUUAGCGGCGGACGGGUGAGUAACACGUGGAUAACCUACCUAUAAGACUGGGAUAACUUCGGGAAACCGGAGCUAAUACCGGAUAAUAUUUUGAACCGCAUGGUUCAAAAGUGAAAGACGGUCUUGCUGUCACUUAUAGAUGGAUCCGCGCUGCAUUAGCUAGUUGGUAAGGUAACGGCUUACCAAGGCAACGAUGCAUAGCCGACCUGAGAGGGUGAUCGGCCACACUGGAACUGAGACACGGUCCAGACUCCUACGGGAGGCAGCAGUAGGGAAUCUUCCGCAAUGGGCGAAAGCCUGACGGAGCAACGCCGCGUGAGUGAUGAAGGUCUUCGGAUCGUAAAACUCUGUUAUUAGGGAAGAACAUAUGUGUAAGUAACUGUGCACAUCUUGACGGUACCUAAUCAGAAAGCCACGGCUAACUACGUGCCAGCAGCCGCGGUAAUACGUAGGUGGCAAGCGUUAUCCGGAAUUAUUGGGCGUAAAGCGCGCGUAGGCGGUUUUUUAAGUCUGAUGUGAAAGCCCACGGCUCAACCGUGGAGGGUCAUUGGAAACUGGAAAACUUGAGUGCAGAAGAGGAAAGUGGAAUUCCAUGUGUAGCGGUGAAAUGCGCAGAGAUAUGGAGGAACACCAGUGGCGAAGGCGACUUUCUGGUCUGUAACUGACGCUGAUGUGCGAAAGCGUGGGGAUCAAACAGGAUUAGAUACCCUGGUAGUCCACGCCGUAAACGAUGAGUGCUAAGUGUUAGGGGGUUUCCGCCCCUUAGUGCUGCAGCUAACGCAUUAAGCACUCCGCCUGGGGAGUACGACCGCAAGGUUGAAACUCAAAGGAAUUGACGGGGACCCGCACAAGCGGUGGAGCAUGUGGUUUAAUUCGAAGCAACGCGAAGAACCUUACCAAAUCUUGACAUCCUUUGACAACUCUAGAGAUAGAGCCUUCCCCUUCGGGGGACAAAGUGACAGGUGGUGCAUGGUUGUCGUCAGCUCGUGUCGUGAGAUGUUGGGUUAAGUCCCGCAACGAGCGCAACCCUUAAGCUUAGUUGCCAUCAUUAAGUUGGGCACUCUAAGUUGACUGCCGGUGACAAACCGGAGGAAGGUGGGGAUGACGUCAAAUCAUCAUGCCCCUUAUGAUUUGGGCUACACACGUGCUACAAUGGACAAUACAAAGGGCAGCGAAACCGCGAGGUCAAGCAAAUCCCAUAAAGUUGUUCUCAGUUCGGAUUGUAGUCUGCAACUCGACUACAUGAAGCUGGAAUCGCUAGUAAUCGUAGAUCAGCAUGCUACGGUGAAUACGUUCCCGGGUCU